This 969-nucleotide ribosomal RNA is filed under the name uncultured Verrucomicrobiota bacterium. RNAcentral's name for it is "bacterial SSU rRNA". It matches the Rfam family "Bacterial small subunit ribosomal RNA", at positions 524 to 1482 of the family's 1533-position model. Lineage: Bacteria; Pseudomonadati; Verrucomicrobiota. The record is from RNAcentral.
CACAGAGGUCCCGAGCGUUGUUCGGAUUCACUGGGCGUAAAGGGUGCGUAGGUGGUGAGGUAAGUCGGAUGUGAAAGCUCGGAGCUCAACUCCGAAAUGGCAUUGGAAACUACCUUGCUCGAGGAAUGGAGGGGGGACUGGAAUUCUCGGUGUAGCAGUGAAAUGCGUAGAUAUCGAGAGGAACACCAGUGGCGAAGGCGAGUCCCUGGACAUCUCCUGACACUGAGGCACGAAAGCUAGGGGAGCAAACAGGAUUAGAUACCCUGGUAGUCCUAGCCGUAAACGGUGCACGUUUGCUGUAAAAGGAAUCGACCCCUUUUGUGGCGUAGCCAACGCGUUAAACGUGCCGCCUGGGAAGUACGGUCGCAAGAUUAAAACUCAAAGAAAUUGACGGGGGCCUGCACAAGCGGUGGAGUAUGUGGCUCAAUUCGAUGCAACGCGAAGAACCUUACCUGGCCUUGACAUGUAUGUAGUAGAAGGGUGAAAGCCUAACGAGGUAGCAAUACCAGCAUACACAGGUGCUGCAUGGCUGUCGUCAGCUCGUGUCGUGAGAUGUUGGGUUAAGUCCCGCAACGAGCGCAACCCUUGUGUCCUGUUGCCACCCCCACGCGAGUGGGGAGCACUCUGGACAGACUGCCUCGCUUAAACGAGGAGGAAGGUGGGGAUGUCGUCAAGUCAGUAUGGCCCUUACGGCCAGGGCUGCACACGUACUACAAUGCCCGGCACAGAGGGAAGCGAGACCGUCAGGUGGAGCAAAUCCCCAAAAACCGGGCCCAGUUCAGAUUGUCGUCUGCAACUCGACGGCAUGAAGCUGGAAUCGCUAGUAAUGGCGCAUCAGCUACGGCGCCGUGAAUACGUUCCCAGGCCUUGUACACACCGCCCGUCACAUCAUGAAAGCCGUUUGUACCCGAAGUCGCCGUGCCAACCGCAAGGAGGCAGGUGCCGAAGGUAUGAAUGGUGAUUGGGAUG